AGUGAACGCUGGCGGUAGGCCUAACACAUGCAAGUCGAACGGCAGCACAGAGGAGCUUGCUCCUUGGGUGGCGAGUGGCGGACGGGUGAGGAAUACAUCGGAAUCUACUCUGUCGUGGGGGAUAACGUAGGGAAACUUACGCUAAUACCGCAUACGACCUACGGGUGAAAGCAGGGGAUCUUCGGACCUUGCGCGAUUGAAUGAGCCGAUGUCGGAUUAGCUAGUUGGCGGGGUAAAGGCCCACCAAGGCGACGAUCCGUAGCUGGUCUGAGGGGAUGAUCAGCCACACUGGAACUGAGACACGGUCCAGACUCCUACGGGAGGCAGCAGUGGGGAAUAUUGGACAAUCGGCGCAAGCCUGAUCCAGCCAUACCGCGUGGGUGAAGAAGGCCUUCGGGUUGUAAAGCCCUUUUGUUGGGAAAGAAAUCCAUCUGGUUAAUACCCGGGUGGGAUGACGGUACCCAAAGAAUAAGCACCGGCUAACUUCGUGCCAGCAGCCGCCGCCG
RNAcentral lists this ribosomal RNA (506 nucleotides) under uncultured bacterium. Its description in RNAcentral is "partial 16S ribosomal RNA". It matches the Rfam family "Bacterial small subunit ribosomal RNA", at positions 29 to 523 of the family's 1533-position model. The record is from RNAcentral.